Molecule: ribosomal RNA, 252 nt
Filed under: uncultured bacterium
Lineage: Bacteria
Description: partial 16S ribosomal RNA
Rfam family: Bacterial small subunit ribosomal RNA
Source: RNAcentral
UACAGAGGUCCCGAGCGUUGUUCGGAUUUACUGGGCGUAAAGGGUGCGUAGGUGGCGGGGUAAGUCUGGUGUGAAAGCUCCGAGCUCAACUCGGAAAAGCAUUGGAAACUAUCCCGCUGGAGGGUCGGAGGGGAGACUGGAAUUCUCGGUGUAGCAGUGAAAUGCGUAGAUAUCGAGAGGAACACCAGUGGCGAAGGCGAGUCUCUGGACGACUCCUGACACUGAGGCACGAAAGCUAGGGGAGCAAACAGG